CUGAGGAGGGGUGACCCGGCACCCUGGACUGAGACACGCCAGACUCUACGGAGGCAGCAGUGGGAUAUGCACAAUGGCGGAAGCUGAUGCAGCACGCCGCGUGAGGGAUGACGGCUUCGGGUGUAAACCUCUUUAGCAGGGAAGAAGCGAAAGUGACGGUACUGCAGAAAAAGCGCCGGCUAACUACGUGCCAGCAGCCGCGGUAAUACGUAGGGCGCAAGCGUUAUCCGGAAUUAUUGGGCGUAAAGAGCUCGUAGGCGGUUUGUCGCGUCUGCUGUGAAAUCCCGAGGCUCAACCUCGGGCUGCAGUGGGUACGGGCAGACUAGAGUGCGGUAGGGGAGAUUGGAAUUCCUGGUGUAGCGGUGGAAUGCGCAGAUAUCAGGAGGAACACCGAUGGCGAAGGCAGAUCUCUGGGCCGUAACUGACGCUGAGGAGCGAAAGGGUGGGGAGCAAACAGGCUUAGAUACCCUGGUAGUCCACCCCGUAAACGUUGGGAACUAGUUGUGGGGUCCAUUCCACGGAUUCCGUGACGCAGCUAACGCAUUAAGUUCCCCGCCUGGGGAGUACGGCCGCAAGGCUAAAACUCAAAGGAAUUGACGGGGACCCGCACAAGCGGCGGAGCAUGCGGAUUAAUUCGAUGCAACGCGAAGAACCUUACCAAGGCUUGACAUAUACGAGAACGGGCCAGAAAUGGUCAACUCUUUGGACACUCGUAAACAGGUGGUGCAUGGUUGUCGUCAGCUCGUGUCGUGAGAUGUUGGGUUAAGUCCCGCAACGAGCGCAACCCUCGUUCUAUGUUGCCAGCACGUAAUGGUGGGAACUCAUGGGAUACUGCCGGGGUCAACUCGGAGGAAGGUGGGGAUGACGUCAAAUCAUCAUGCCCCUUAUGUCUUGGGCUUCACGCAUGCUACAAUGGCCGGUACAAAGGGCUGCAAUACCGUGAGGUGGAGCGAAUCCCAAAAAGCCGGUCCCAGUUCGGAUUGAGGUCUGCAACUCGACCUCAUGAAGUCGGAGUCGCUAGUAAUCGCAGAUCAGCAACGCUGCGGUGAAUACGUUCCCGGGUCUUGUACACACCGCCCGUCAAGUCAUGAAAGUCGGUAACACCUGAAGCCGGUGGCCUAACCCUGGGAGGAGCCUGAACAACCAAACACUCUAA
RNAcentral lists this ribosomal RNA (1156 nucleotides) under Microbacterium sp. RNAcentral's name for it is "bacterial SSU rRNA". It matches the Rfam family "Bacterial small subunit ribosomal RNA", at positions 292 to 1480 of the family's 1533-position model. The record is from RNAcentral. Lineage: Bacteria; Bacillati; Actinomycetota; Actinomycetes; Micrococcales; Microbacteriaceae.